Haemorhous mexicanus (house finch) is the source of this 707-nucleotide long non-coding RNA. RefSeq lists it as uncharacterized. NCBI's taxonomy places the organism in Eukaryota, Metazoa, Chordata, Aves, Passeriformes, Fringillidae. The record is from RefSeq and is a predicted model, not a curated record. The transcript has 2 exons.
GACCUCCCCACUUAUCAAAAAAAGAGGAGCCAUUUGGUUGAAGUGCUUUCCUCCAGGCCAAGACUGAUAAGGCUGCUGGGAGCUCAUGCUGAUUCACCAUGAGCUAAGAGAAAACAGGCACUAAUUAGGAACUGCAAAUAUACACCAUCAAACAACAGGACUUUAAAGCAAAAUGUGUAUUUUGGAGUUUUUUUCCCCCCUUAAUCCUCACCUAUCACCUAUCAGCAAUGACCAAACCCUCUUCAACACUUAGAGCCUGGUCUCAGCCUACUACCCAGCUUCCUACUCCUGCUUUAACACAGCUCAGCACUCCAGAAGAUUUCAUGGAAAUCAUUUGGUGCAGAAAUGUCAGAAGGCAGCACCAGGCACUGGAGAGAUCCUGUUCUGGUGUUUUUCUAAUACAACAGGACAUCAAGAAGCACCAAAACUGGGACCAGUGUGCAACAGGUUUGCCUAAGCAAGUCAUGUAUUCUAUUACUCACAGGGGUAAUGCUGCUGAGGUUGUUUUUUUUCCUGGAAUCGGUUCUCCAAUCUAUUUGAUUGCCUGACCACACAAGCAGCUGCAUUAGCACAAGGGGAAAGCAGGACAGCCUCUUUCACCACCACCACCACCAAAACCUUCACUGAAACAAAGCCCUCGGGUGACAGUGUAAUAAGCACAAAGAACCAGUCUUGUGGCUUAUACUAUAAAAAGUGACACUCCUCUC